This 418-nucleotide long non-coding RNA is filed under the name Phoenix dactylifera (date palm). RNAcentral describes it as "long non-coding RNA (PDAC_LNC009848)". The record is from RNAcentral. Lineage: Eukaryota; Viridiplantae; Streptophyta; Magnoliopsida; Arecales; Arecaceae.
UAAGGGACCAGAGCAGUCGAGCUCGAUUUUUAACCUUGCGAAACCGAACCUCCGCCCCUGCUCCGUGAACCCAUCCAGAGCCAGUGGUUUACCAGCUCUUGCGGCGAUCUUGUAGAUAGUCUCCUUCCUCCAAUAGUCCACUGGUAGCCGUGGCAUCCGCAUCCAGACCACCACCCUGCCCACUCCCAUGGCACCGGGCACGAAGUUCGGGCGCCACCUAUCCAUCGCCAGAAGCUGCCCGGCUACCAUCCAUGGGCCGUUCAUCACCGCUGCUUCACGAUCUCCCUCCUUGGCAAACCGGAGGACUGUGAACCCAUCCAUCAACGGGAAGAUCUCCACAUUGUAGUCCAACCGAGCCGCUCUCUUGAUCUCCCUCGCGAUCCACUCGCCUGGAACUGACCUCCCCAAGCUUCUAACU